Molecule: ribosomal RNA, 372 nt
Filed under: uncultured bacterium
Lineage: Bacteria
Description: bacterial SSU rRNA
Rfam family: Bacterial small subunit ribosomal RNA
Source: RNAcentral
UACGGAGGGUGCAAGCGUUAUCCGGAUUUACUGGGUUUAAAGGGUGUGUAGGCGGGUCAUUAAGUCAGUGGUGAAAUCUCCGAGCUUAACUUGGAAACUGCCAUUGAUACUAUUGAUCUUGAAUUUUGUUGAGGUAGGCGGAAUAAGUCAUGUAGCGGUGAAAUGCAUAGAUAUGACUUAGAACACCAAUUGCGAAGGCAGCUUGCUAAACAAAUAUUGACGCUGAGGCACGAAAGCGUGGGGAUCAAACAGGAUUAGAUACCCUGGUAGUCCACGCCCUAAACGAUGAUUACUCGACAUACGCGAUACACAGUGUGUGUCUGAGCGAAAGCAUUAAGUAAUCCACCUGGGAAGUACGACCGCAAGGUUGAA